Molecule: non-coding RNA, 116 nt
Organism: Leptonema illini DSM 21528
Lineage: Bacteria; Pseudomonadati; Spirochaetota; Leptospiria; Leptospirales; Leptospiraceae
Source: Rfam
GAGGGUAGGCCCCUCGGAGUCUGCUGACAGAAGCUGGUUUCAAACCGCCUCAAGCUGCGAUGGUAAAGAGGCAUCGUGGUGAACGUUGGAGGAAAGCAUGAGAACUCAUGCCAGGU